GUGAGGGGCUGGGCGAAAGGAGGGAGGAGAGAGGAUGGGGGAACGCGCGCCCCAGGAGCGAAAGCAAACAGCUUGCUGUAAAGGCGCUGCCCGCAGUCCAGGAGCCCAACAAGUUAGUUAGACCAGGAUCCACCGGUAUUUCGCAGGAAAGGGGGCGGGGGGGGGCGAGAUAGCUAAAGAAGGAGAAAGCCUUUCCAGAGGACAGAGGGAGGGAGGGAAAGAG
Molecule: long non-coding RNA, 223 nt
Filed under: Nannospalax galili (Upper Galilee mountains blind mole rat)
Lineage: Eukaryota; Metazoa; Chordata; Mammalia; Rodentia; Spalacidae
Description: Six3os1 conserved region 2 (ENSNGAG00000006408.1)
Rfam family: Six3os1 conserved region 2
Source: RNAcentral